GACCUCGUAGCUCAGUUGGCAGAGCAUUGGGCUAGUAUUCCAAAGGUCGUAGGUUCGAUUCCCACCGUGGACA
This 73-nucleotide transfer RNA is filed under the name Paramuricea clavata. It matches the Rfam family "tRNA". Rfam says of the family: Transfer RNA (tRNA) molecules are approximately 80 nucleotides in length. Their secondary structure includes four short double-helical elements and three loops (D, anti-codon, and T loops). The record is from Rfam by way of RNAcentral. Lineage: Eukaryota; Metazoa; Cnidaria; Anthozoa; Malacalcyonacea; Plexauridae.